AAACAUCUUUUCUUGGUUUUUAUUUGAGAUUUGGCCUGCCCAAUGAUUUGUUUAAUGGCCGCGGUAUCUUGACCGUGCAAAGGUAGCAUAAUCAAUAGUCUAUUAAUUGUGGACUUGUAUGAAUGGUUGGACGAAAUAUUUACUGUCUAUUAUUUAUUUAAUAUAAAACUUAAAUUUUAAGUGAAAAUGCUUAAAUUUAAUUAUUGGACGAGAAGACCCUAUAGAUCUUUAUUUUUAUUUUUUAUUAUUAUUUUGGUUUAUAAUUUUAUAUUUUUGGGAUUGAUAUUAAUUUUGUUGGGGUGACAUGGGGAAAUAUUUAACUCUUUAUUUUUAUAUUCAAUUAUUUUUGUAAUAUUGACCUUUUAUUAUUGUUAUAAGAUAUAGAUACCUUAGGGAUAACAGCGUUAUCUUUUUUGAGAGUUCUUAUCGACAAAAGGGAUUGCGACCUCGAUGUUGGAUUAAGAUGACAUUUAGGUGUAGUAGCUUAAAUAGUAGGUCUGUUCGACCUUUAAAUUCUUACAUGA
This 524-nucleotide ribosomal RNA is filed under the name Hesperophasmatini gen. n. sp. n. DomRep. RNAcentral describes it as "partial 16S ribosomal RNA". It matches the Rfam family "Bacterial large subunit ribosomal RNA", at positions 1824 to 2603 of the family's 2925-position model. The record is from RNAcentral. Lineage: Eukaryota; Metazoa; Arthropoda; Insecta; Phasmatodea; Pseudophasmatidae.